AGUUUGAUCAUGGCUCAGGUUGAACGCUGGCGGGAUGCUUUACACAUGCAAGUCGAACGGCAGCACGGACUUCGGUCUGGUGGCGAGUGGCGAACGGGUGAGUAAUGUAUCGGAACGUGCCUAGUAGCGGGGAUAACUACGCGAAAGCGUAGCUAAAGGCUCGCAUACGCCCUUCGGGGGAAAGCGGGGACCUUCGGGCCUCGCACUAUUAGAGCGGCCGAUAUCGGAUUAGCUAGUUGGUGGGGUAACGGCUCACCAAGACGACGAUCCGUAGCUGGUUUGAGAGGACGACCAGCCACACUGGGAUCAGACACGGCCCAGACUCCUACGGGAGGCAGCAGUGGGGAAUUUUGGACAAUGGGGAAACCCUGAUCCAGCCAUCCCGCGUGUGCGAUGAAGGCCUUCUCGGGUUGUAAAGCACUUUUGGCAGGAAAGAAACGGCACGGAUAAUACCCCGUGCAACUGACGGUACCUGCAGAAUAAGCACCGGCUAACUACGCCAGCAGCCGCGGUAAUACGUAGGGUGCAAGCGUUAAUCGGAAUUACUGGGCGUAAAGCGUGCGCAGGCGGUUCGGAAAGAAAGAUGAAAUCCCAGAGCUUAACUUUGAACCGCAUUUUUAACUACCGAGCUAGAGUGUGUCAGAGGGAGGUGGAAUUCCGCGUGUAGCAGUGAAAUGCGUAGAUAUGCGGAGGGACACCGAUGGCGAAGGUGUUCCUUGGAUAACACUGACGCUCAUGCACGAAAGCGUGGGGAGCAAACAGGAUUAGAUACCCUGGUAGUCCACGCCUCAAACGAUGUCAACUAGCUGUUGGGGCCUGCCCGGUAGCGCAGCUAACGCGGUGAAGUUGACCGCCUGGGGAGUACGGUCGUAAGAUUAAAACUCAAAGGAAUUGACGGGACCCGCACAAGCGGUGGAUGUGAUUAAUUCGAUGCAACGCGAAAACCUUACCUACCCUUGACAUGUCUGGAAUCCCGAAGAGAUUUGGGAGUGCUCGCAAGAGAACCGGAACACAGGUGCUGCAUGGCUGUCGUCAGCUCGUGUCGUGAGAUGUUGGGUUAAGUCCCGCAACGAGCGCAACCUCUGUCAUUAGUUGCUACGAAAGGGCACUCUAAUGAGACUGCCGGUGACAAACCGGAGGAAGGUGGGGAUGACGUCGUCCUCAUGGCCCUUAUGGGUAGGCUUCACACGUCAUACAAUGGUCGGGACAGAGGGUCGCCAACCCGCGAGGGGAGCCAAUCCCAGAAACCCGAUCGUAGUCCGGAUCGGGUAGUCUGCAACUCGACUGCGUGAAGUCGGAAUCGCUAGUAAUCGCGGAUCAGCAUGUCGCGGUGAAUACGUUCCCGGGUCUUGUACACACCGCCCGUCACACCAUGGGAGUGGGUUUUACCAGAAGUAGUUAGCCUAACCGUAAGGAGGGCGAUUACCACGGCAGGAUUCAUGACUGGGGUGAAGUCGUAACAAGGUAG
This 1468-nucleotide ribosomal RNA is filed under the name uncultured Bordetella sp. Its description in RNAcentral is "partial 16S-23S ribosomal RNA intergenic spacer". It matches the Rfam family "Bacterial small subunit ribosomal RNA". The record is from RNAcentral. Lineage: Bacteria; Pseudomonadati; Pseudomonadota; Betaproteobacteria; Burkholderiales; Alcaligenaceae.